AGUGCUAAGAGAAUGAUUUAACAAUUAAAAACUUUCUUUAAUUUAUAAAUUGAAUUUAGUUUUAUUGUGAAGAAACAAUAAUAUUAAUUAGGGACAAGAAGACCCUAUGAAUUUUAGAAUUAUUUUAUAAUAAUUUAUAUAUAUAAAUUAAUUUUUAUUGGGGCGAUAAGAAAAGAAUAACUAUCUUUUUUUUCUAGAAAUUAAUUUAGAUCCAUUAUUAAUGAUUAGGUGAGAAAAAUACUCUAGGGAUAACAGCG
This 257-nucleotide ribosomal RNA is filed under the name Ixodes moreli. RNAcentral describes it as "partial large subunit ribosomal RNA". Lineage: Eukaryota; Metazoa; Arthropoda; Arachnida; Ixodida; Ixodidae. The record is from RNAcentral.